UACGUAGGGGGCUAGCGUUGUCCGGAAUCAUUGGGCGUAAAGCGCGCGUAGGCGGCCCGGUAAGUCCGCUGUGAAAGUCAAAGGCUCAACCUUUGAAUGUCAGCGGAUACUGCCGGGCUAGGGUCCGGAAGAGGCGAGUGGAAUUCCUGGUGUAGCGGUGGAAUGCGCAGAUAUCAGGAGGAACACCAACGGCGAAGGCAGCUCGCUGGGACGGUACUGACGCUGAGGCGCGAAAGCGUGGGGAGCGAACAGG
RNAcentral lists this ribosomal RNA (253 nucleotides) under uncultured bacterium. RNAcentral's name for it is "partial 16S ribosomal RNA". It matches the Rfam family "Bacterial small subunit ribosomal RNA", at positions 524 to 776 of the family's 1533-position model. The record is from RNAcentral.